RNAcentral lists this ribosomal RNA (253 nucleotides) under uncultured bacterium. RNAcentral's name for it is "partial 16S ribosomal RNA". It matches the Rfam family "Bacterial small subunit ribosomal RNA", at positions 524 to 776 of the family's 1533-position model. The record is from RNAcentral.
UACGAGGGGGGCGAGCGUUGUUCGGAAUUAUUGGGCGUAAAGGGUGCGUAGGCGGGUCUUUAAGUCAGGGGUGAAAUCCUGGAGCUCAACUCCAGAACUGCCUUUGAUACUGAAGAUCUUGAGUUCGGGAGAGGUGAGUGGAACUGCGAGUGUAGAGGUGAAAUUCGUAGAUAUUCGCAAGAACACCAGUGGCGAAGGCGGCUCACUGGCCCGAUACUGACGCUGAGGCACGAAAGCGUGGGGAGCAAACAGG